RNAcentral lists this non-coding RNA (938 nucleotides) under Monopterus sp. 1-SK-2020. RNAcentral's name for it is "partial 12S ribosomal RNA". It matches the Rfam family "Bacterial small subunit ribosomal RNA". Lineage: Eukaryota; Metazoa; Chordata; Actinopteri; Synbranchiformes; Synbranchidae. The record is from RNAcentral.
GUUUGGUCCUAGCUUUAUCAUCAACUAUAACUAAACUUACACAUGCAAGUAUCCGCACCCCCGUGAGAAUGCCCUUAGCCCUCGUUCAGGAUAAAGGAGCUGGUAUCAGGCACACCCUCUGUAGCCCAAGACACCUUGUUCAGCCACGUCCCCAAGGAAAACCAGCAGUGAUAAACAUUAAGCCAUUAGUGAAAACUUGACUUAGUUAAAGUUAAAAGGGCCGGUCAAACUCGUGCCAGCCACCGCGGUUAUACAAGAGACUCAAGUUGAUGACAAACGGCGUAAAGAGUGGUUAAGAAGGCCCCAAACUAAAGCCAAAUUUUCUCCUCGCUGUUAUACGCACCCGAGACAUAAGAAGUACUAUUACGAAAGUAGCUUUACAUAAUCUGACCCCACGAAAGCUAUGGUACAAACUGAGAUUAGAUACCUCACUAUGCAUAGCCAUAAACAAUAAUAGACCCUAAUAUUCCUAUUCGCCUGGGAAUUACGAGCCUCAGCUUAAAACCCAAAGGACUUGGCGGUGCUUAAAACCCACCUAGAGGAGCCUGUUCUAUAACCGAUAAUCCCCGUUAAACCUCACCCCUUCUUGCUUUUCCCGUCUAUAUACCGCCGUCGUCAGCUUACCCCUAAGGGUUCAACAGUAGGCAAAAUUGGUCCCCCCCCCAAAACGUCAGGUCGAGGUGUAGCGAAUGAAGGGGGAAGAAAUGGGCUACAUUCUCUAAUUCUAGCAGAUACGAAAAAUGAACUGAAAACACAUUUGAAGACGGAUUUAGAAGUAAAUAGAAAAUAGAGUGUUCUAUUGAAACCGGCCCUAAAGCGCGUACACACCGCCCGUCACUCUCCCCAAACAAUCAAACAUCCUAACUAAAACACUAUUAGCCAAAGAGGGGAGACAAGUCGUAACAUGGUAAGUGUACCGGAAGGUGCACUUGGAUAAU